Molecule: ribosomal RNA, 1005 nt
Filed under: Triticum aestivum (bread wheat)
Lineage: Eukaryota; Viridiplantae; Streptophyta; Magnoliopsida; Poales; Poaceae
Description: partial small subunit ribosomal RNA
Source: RNAcentral
AUGGCGGGGGCAGGAGUAGCGACUCAGAGGCCGUCGACGGGGAGCUGGGGUGGCCAUGGCAGUUCACGCCUGCAGCACCACGAGCAUGAAGUGGGGAAAGAGGUCGAAGGUAGCAAGGAUGGGAACAUGGUCGUGGUGUUGUGGCCCUUGCUGUUGGCGCGUGAGGUUGCUAGCACCAGCCACCUCGCCGCCGUCCCAUUCGCCUGCGGCGCCGCUGUGUUCUGCUUCGAGGCCUCGUCGGGGUGGGUGCGGCCAACCACGUGGGUUCUCGUCGUAGCCAGCGGUGGGCAGGGGCCAGGUGGCAGACGGAGGUGGGUUCUCGUCGUCAUCGGAGGCGGGCGGCCACGUGGGGGGGCAUGGGGCGGACGGAGGUUGGCCGCCGCCGCCUGGGGAUCACGGCCGAGAAUUUUUAGCCGCUCGAAUACACAUGCACGCAAAGUUUUUUUUGCAAAGUUGCCAGUUAUUAAAAGAUCUGCUGAACUAGUGGCCACUCCGUCGCCGUGGGCCUCGCUUGUUUGUCGUCCCGUUCACCAUCACGCUGGUGGUGUUCCACCUCCCGCCGACCUUCGCGUCUCGUCGCUCAUCACCGUGCUCGCCAUCUGCCUCUCGGUCUCCUCCUUUCUCGUCCUCGCCGACGCGCUCCCCGAGCUCGACCUCCUCAACUCUGAGCUCGGUCGCAUCGCGCUCACCACGUCCCUCAUCACCGUUGUCACCUCAUGGCUCCUCCGAGCUUGCUUUGCUGCGGUGUUCCUCAUCACGGAGGCCAAGUCGCCGGCAUUCACGACCAAGAUCCGCACCUCCUUCACCGCCUUCAUGGCACGCCCUGUCGGAUGCUACAUCGCGUACAACCGCACCCUGGCCGGUGAUCUCCUCCCGGAGAUGGCCUUCCUCCAUGACUAUGAGAUGCAGCCCACCAUCUUGUCGGCGACGCAUCAGGCCACGAACAGCUCCAGCGCGCGCCAUUUCUCCUCGUGGAUGCCCAGCUCCAAGAAGUCUGUGCGGUAG